This 924-nucleotide long non-coding RNA is filed under the name Brachypodium distachyon (stiff brome). RNAcentral's name for it is "long non-coding RNA (BDIS_LNC004128)". Lineage: Eukaryota; Viridiplantae; Streptophyta; Magnoliopsida; Poales; Poaceae. The record is from RNAcentral.
CCCGGAUUGGUCAUUUUGCUCUUCGCUCACGCCAUUAAAAUUGUGUGCACGCGUGGAAGGAAAAUGUUACGUGUAUCUUGACCCGGCAAAACGGAACACGUACGUAUAGUACCGUGGCGUAGUAAAGACCAGCCUGCGCUGAUACGUGCGUAAGUACGUACGUAUAUAUGCUACGUACAAAAAUGAAAUUGUAUACCUAUAUAUUGAGUACACUUUGACUGAUGUGUAGUCGUACGUUCUCAAAUAAAAAAUUACGUUUAAGCUGCACGCGCGCGAGAGUUUGAGAUCGCGACGCUGUUUUAGCGUCAUAUUGGACUUAAUUUAGAUCUUGUCAAAAUCAAAUUAAUUUAACUAUACUUCAUUAUUUUAGCUUUGCGAAAUAUUGACCGGCCGACGGCAUAUGUACGACAGUAGUGAUUGUACACCAACAUUUUUGUUUGCGUUCGCGGUCUCGUCGACCUCAUAUGUGAAAGAAUCCAAAUUUUUGGUCUGCACGUCUUAAAGUGCAAACCAUUUUUUCUUUCUUUUUGAAGAGUAGCACAAGUAUUCGAUCUUAAAUUUUUGGAGUUCCGUAAACAAACAGAAAACAAUGCUCUUUCCUGUUUUUGUUGCUCAUUAAUUUUGCACCACACUGUUGGGCGGUCUCUUGGGACCCAAAGCUCUUUAUAACCCAUGAAUCCAGAUCUAAGCUCCACAUCUAAUUAAACUCGGUCUCUGAAGCUAGCUACACCAAAGAAGAAGAAGAAGAAGAUCGAAGCUCCACCGCGAUCCGCUCUCGACGACCGGGUCAAGAAAGGCUUGGACUCACUCUAUCGUACGUGGACCGCGUGUUUUCAUUCCGCCAGUCAGCAGUGUUUUGGAGCCCACUCCUCCCAAGUCCCUAUUGGGCUCUCACAAAUACAAGCAAAGCCCAUCUCCUACUUG